Molecule: long non-coding RNA, 796 nt
Organism: Zingiber officinale
Lineage: Eukaryota; Viridiplantae; Streptophyta; Magnoliopsida; Zingiberales; Zingiberaceae
Exons: 3
Source: RefSeq, a predicted model, not a curated record
CACACGACUCUUCCUCAUUCUAUUCCCAUAUCAAUAUUAAAUUUAAUGAUGUGUGAUUUCUUUUUUUUCCCUUCUAUUAUGUUGUAAAUGUAUUUGUAUGUCUUUGAAUAUUGUUGCUUGUAUUAGAUGUAGAAGUAUUCUAUUUUCCCAAUUCCAAUAGGUUCUCAUUCAUUUUUUAUUUUCUUUGUUAUGUUUGCUUUUUCCUAAAAUAUAUGAUAAUAUGUCUAUUUUGGUUGUUGUUAUCAGCUUUUAUCUAUUGCUGAUUUUGCAUUUUUUUCAAUGGAAGGAAAAAAUUAUAUGAGUUGAUGCAUUGAACUUUUAUGCUUUAUAAGCGUACUGCGACAUCAACAAUGGCUUUUAGCAUUUCAAUAAUUUGUAGAACAUGCCAUAGCCAAAUUUCAAGUUAUAAUAUGUUUGAAACUACAAAUGUUGUGGUAAGCAAUUGUCAGUUAGGAAGUUUUGUUAAGUUGAACAUAUGCUUUCAUCCUUUUAGUUUAACAAUGCUAUUAUGUAAUUAGUACUUAGAGAAAGUAAUAGUACUUGGGAAAAUUGAGUUCAGUCCUAUAUUCUUUCAAAGAUAAUUUAAAUCUUGGAUGCACUUCCUCUUUUCAAUAUGUCGAUGCCUUGGUAUAAACCGUGAAGAAAGUGUAUUCUUUACCCGACCAGAAGCAUGAUCCUCCUGAAGAGGAACCAUUGAGGAUAUUCUAUGAAUCUCUGUCGAAACAAAUUCCCUCAAGUGAAAUGACACAAUUUUGAGGAAGCUGAAGAGGAAGAAUGAUUAAUAGUGAUUGCUUGG